Molecule: long non-coding RNA, 1450 nt
Filed under: Nicotiana tabacum (common tobacco)
Lineage: Eukaryota; Viridiplantae; Streptophyta; Magnoliopsida; Solanales; Solanaceae
Description: long non-coding RNA (NTAB_LNC002069)
Source: RNAcentral
UAAAAUAUCCGGCCAGGUCGUUACAUGCGUGCGUUCUUCCGAGUUUAACGCGUAGUUACAAAAGUAACUCUUUGAUGCAAUUCUCAUCCUUACCAGUGACUCCCUCGUGCUUUCUCUGCGAAAAUUCAUAGUUCCUUAAUUUCCUCCUCUAUUGCUCCAUCUUUUAUGUUGUUUUCUGGUAUUAUUAAGUUUUGCUGCGUUCUCUAUGGAGCUAUAAAGUAAGUUCAAUCUUUUACUCUUUUGUUCUUCCAAUUUUAUGUUCUUUUGCAUAUAUCUGGAUCUGGUAUUCUUGGAAUCCUUCUCUACUCACAUGUUCUACUGCAUUAGAAUGGUAUUAAUUGGGUAAAAUGGUUGGUGGACGGUCUCUCUUUUCUGUAUUCCCGUCUCAGUUGUUUUUAUGCCCUUUAUUUUGCGUCUUUGCUCUUUUUAUGGUUUAAUCUUAAUUUUUCAUUUUUUUCAAAUUUGUCCAAGUGCAAUAAGAAUGGACUUUGAGUUUGUUAUUUUACCCACUACAUUUCGACUUGCAUUAGAGGUGUUUGUGAUAUUGCCCAAAAGAAAUCACGACUAUCUGUGGGCUCGGUUAGGGACCUCUUAAACUAGUUAACUUUGGUUAAAAAUAAAAUACCUUUAUAAUAUGUUAUCUCGAAAGUGGUAUCAAAGUAUUUAAUCUUCAUGAAAUUAAAUAUCAUCGACAAGUAUUGAUCACUGUAAUUUUGAAGGAAAUAUUUACAACAACUAAUACAUAAACAACUGCUUCUACAUCUAUGUACAACCAUCUUGCUCUAUGCAGCUUUAACUGACUAUACAAUAUUUCUUCGUUGGACUUACUACAUCUUUUUUGUAAAUUUUCUGCAAUAUUAUUUUUUUGUAAUUAUAUAUACCGAAGUCGAAGUAGUUCAUUUUCAGUCCUUUCUAGUAAUUGUCAAACUGUGUUAUAUUUGCCAUUCAAUAACUCAGUAGUAAUUAUAUGAUUUCUGAAUAUUUUUUGCAUUAGAUGACCCUCCUCCAAUGUAUCUUUGUUUGACUUCUGAACUCAUUCUUAAAAGAUAUAGCUAGAUGUGUAUCGCAUUUGACUAAAAGAUUAAAACAAAAUAGAUAUCUCAGUCUUCUGAACUUCGAUGAAAGGUGACAUAUUUUAUUCUAUUGCAGUCGCAAAGCAUUUUACAGAUGCAGAAAUUAUUGAAGAGAUGUUGAUCUUCAUGACUAGCGCCAUAUACUCUUUUUGGCAGAAUUAUUAUGAUAUUGAGCAUCUUUAAGACAUUCCCCGAAAGAAGGAGAAUUGGAUAUUUGAAUGGGAAGCUGAUUAAUUAUCUUAGAAUGUUUUCUAUUUAACUUGUAAAAAUAUAUAAGAAUACUUUAUACCUAAUUUACCAAAAUAUCUUAUUGUUUUUCCUCCAAGUCUUUGUUGAUGAAAAGUGCCAUUGUUCAUCAGUGCUUGUGCUGCCAAGGA